GGGGAUGUAGCUCAGCUGGGAGAGCGCCUCGUUCGCAACGAGGAGGUCGUGGGUUCAAGUCCCAUCAUCUCCACCA
This 76-nucleotide transfer RNA is filed under the name bacterium. RNAcentral's name for it is "tRNA-Ala". It matches the Rfam family "tRNA". From Rfam's summary of the family: Transfer RNA (tRNA) molecules are approximately 80 nucleotides in length. Their secondary structure includes four short double-helical elements and three loops (D, anti-codon, and T loops). The record is from RNAcentral. RNAcentral also lists the same sequence under 2 other names.